Molecule: ribosomal RNA, 102 nt
Filed under: Gemmatimonadota bacterium
Lineage: Bacteria; Pseudomonadati; Gemmatimonadota
Source: RNAcentral
GCAGGGGUCACACCCGAUCCCAUCCCGAACUCGGAAGUUAAGUCCUGCCGCGCGAAUGGUACUGCUGGGGCGACCCGGUGGGAGAGUACGUCGCUGCCAGCC